Molecule: long non-coding RNA, 2387 nt
Organism: Peromyscus californicus insignis
Lineage: Eukaryota; Metazoa; Chordata; Mammalia; Rodentia; Cricetidae
Exons: 6
Source: RefSeq, a predicted model, not a curated record
AGACAAAUACUGCCACUUGGACAUUCCUGACUUUGAUCUGGAAAUCGCUGCAGUCUUCCAGAAGGGUUGCUAGAGCCACACCUACAACCAUGUCUUCCUUGUCUUUUACAAUCUUAUUCCCAUCUGUGUCCACACUAGAAAACCAUCUACGAUGCUCAUGACUGAAAAGGAAAUUGGAAGCAAAGGAAACAUAUCUUCAGAGUCCAGAUGGAGAGAUGAGGAUGGGCAGGGGUGAAGGAGGCUGAGACAAUACGGUGGAAAACGCAGCAUCACAUUUAGAGAACCGGGUACCUAAUAGAGUUUGGAAGACAAAAAGUCCAGUAGAGAUGAGAGGAGAGACAAGUAGUACCAGGAUUCCCUGAUCUCCACCUAAUGUUUGGCUGUGGAUCUGCAGCGGUUUCCAUCAGUUGCUGGAUGACUCCUCUAGGCACCAGUCUGGUCACAGGAGAUGGCCAGCUCAGGCUAUGUAUCUGCUAUUUCUAGGGGUCUAAGCUGUGGUCUUCCUUGUAGAUUUCUGGGAAUUCCCUUCAGCAGGGUUUUUAUCUGACUCCAAAAAGCCCCCUUUCCAAUAGUCUCUCUCAGUACUCCCCCCACCUCCCCACUCCCCCCGCAACCUAAUCGCUCCUGUUCUCUUCCCUGCCAAUCCUCACUCACUCCACCCAUGAAAUCUCUUCUAUUUCUCCUUCCUAGGGAGAGCUGAGUGUCCCUUCAUGAACCCUCCUGGUUACCUAGCCUUUCUGGCACUGUGGAUUGUAGCAUGGUUAUCCUUUACAGUUAAUAUCCACUUAAGAAUACCACUUGGGAUCCAGGUAUUCCAGGAAGUCUUCCCAAACCACAAAUGGAACUUACAGCAUCCUCUACAGAGUGGAAGAAUGGCAUAGACAUGCAUAUUUCUCCAUGUUCACGGUGCCUAUACUCCACAUGGAAAAGAGACAGCUUUAAUGGAGAAGCAGAGAACAUGGAGAAGAGAAAGCCAUUCUCACCUGGAAUCCCCGGGCUUGUGCCACAAGACGCAGUAAGUAGAAAAGUCCUGUGAGCAACCGUGCGUAUUGAGUGCAGGAAAGAAGAAAAGCAAGCUGGGAGAAAGCUCAGUCAAUUGGAGUACUUAAGCACUUAAAAACAAAAACUGGGAUGAUGGCACACACUCGUAAUCCAAGCACUUGGAAGAUGGUAGCAGGCAGAUCCCUGGGACUCGCUGGCCGGCUAGCCUAGCCACGUGGCUGAGCUCCAGGCUCUUGAGAAACUGGCUUUGAGAACCAAGGUGGACAGCUCCUAAGGAACAGCGCCUGAAGUUGUCCUCUGGCCUACACACACCUGGGUAUGCAUGCACACGCAAAUGUACGUGCACCCACCAACACAUGCACACCAAAGACGAGGAGGAGGAGGAGGGGGAGGAGGAGGAGGAGGCAGCAUCUGAGCAUGUUCAGUCGUUGAAAACAUGAAAGGUAGAGAAGGUCUCCCAAGGACAGUUAAUAGCACAGGAAGAGAAGACAGGACAAUGGCUUAGGAGGAGACUGAGGAAAAAUGUUAGGGAACAGAUAGAAAGGGAAGGAAACCAAAAUUGAGAUCAUUAAAGGAGCAGAGAAAGAAUUGGGGGUAAGGGGGUGUUUUAAGUAUUCACUGCUGCUGAAUGAAAACUACCCAGUAGAUCCCACAGUACAUAGGUUGCAUGUAGGUAUCCCCAAUUGAGGUCACAGUCAGUGGACUGUGUAGCUGAAAUUUUCCUGUGUCCCGCCCAGUCCUCAGCCACUCAGACCCAAGUAAACACACAGAGGCUUGUAUUAAUUAAAACUGCUUGGCCAUUAGCUCAGGCUUACUACUGACUAUCUCUUACACUUAAACUCAGCCCAUUUCUGUUAAUCUACAUGUUGCCACAUUUUCCGUGGCUUUACCUGUGUGCCGUUACAUGCUGCUUCCUGGAUGGUGGGCUGGCACCUCCUGACUCAGCCCUUCCUCUUCCCAGAAUUCUCCUUGUCUGUUUACCUUGCCUAUACUUCCUGCCUGGCUAUUGGCCAAUCAGCAUUUCAUUUGUCAACCAAUCAGAACAACACAUUAUUGGCGAAAUUAUUAAGGCCACUCCACGUAGUUAAAAGGAGAUUUAUUUAAUGGCAUAACUUACAAAUUAAGGGAUAGGUAGGUUGCGGGGUCUGGGGAAGGUGUAUCGCAGUCCAGCGGUGUUCUCUGGAGCUCUGCUUGGCCCACCUCCACCAUCCAGGGUCCCGGAACAGAGAGAGCCAGCGCAUCUGGAUCUCGGGUCUUCAGGGUCCUCUCUUGGCCUUGUAGGCGUGACAGUUACCGAAGUCUCAAUGGGGGUUGGAACUUCCAGAUCAAAGCUGGAAUGGCUACCCACUACAACACAUAUUCACAGCAUACAGAACAUCUUUUUA